UCUCUCUCUCUCUCUCGACUUUUACAGUGAAGUGUAAACUCCACAAAAGUUGUAGUGCAGCUGCAAAACAUCAGGGAAAAUAUACACUUCUUCUCAUACAAAAUGUGCUUCUAGUAGUGCAACUGAUCAACAGUGAACCAAAUCUGUUUCACUAUAUGUAGGCGUAGCGGCCAUUUUAAUUAAUUUUCUGAGCUGGUGUUGGUUGGUUUUGGCAUUUUCUUUCUGGGAUCCCUUUCUUUCUUUGGGCAACGGGGAGGCAUAGAUUGAUCGCCGGUGCAGUUAAUUUGGAGGGACAGGGACAUGGACAGAGAUAUGGAUCAAUGCAAGCUUCUAGGUAAAAACUGAUUGCUAGCUAGGAGGCCCUUAGCAAUAUAUUGCUUCAGGUCAUCUUGAGGAAGAUCAAUAUUUUGUUAAGAACUCCAUCUGAGCCGAUCAAGCACUCAUCAAGCUGUAUGUGAUAUGUAGUUCUCGAUCUAUUAUGUAACAUGUACUGCUAUGUUAGGAACUUCUGUGUUAGGUUGCUGACUGUGAAGAAGGUAGUGUUUUAUUUGCUAGUACAAUGUUCCAUGUUGUUUUCUUAAUU
RNAcentral lists this long non-coding RNA (583 nucleotides) under Rosa chinensis. Its description in RNAcentral is "sRNA RchiOBHm_Chr4g0435931". Lineage: Eukaryota; Viridiplantae; Streptophyta; Magnoliopsida; Rosales; Rosaceae. The record is from RNAcentral.